UACGUAGGUGGCAAGCGUUGUCCGGAUUUACUGGGCGUAAAGCGCACGCAGGUGGCUGAGUCAGUCGAUUGUGAAAGCCCUGGGCUUAACCUGGGAAUUGCAGUCGAUACUACUCAGCUCGAGUAUGGGAGAGGGCAGUGGAAUUCCCGGUGUAGCGGUGAAAUGCGUAGAUAUCGGGAGGAACAUCAGUGGCGAAGGCGGCUGCCUGGCCCAAUACUGACACUCAGGUGCGACAGCGUGGGGAGCAAACAGG
RNAcentral lists this ribosomal RNA (253 nucleotides) under uncultured bacterium. RNAcentral describes it as "partial 16S ribosomal RNA". It matches the Rfam family "Bacterial small subunit ribosomal RNA", at positions 524 to 776 of the family's 1533-position model. The record is from RNAcentral.